Molecule: ribosomal RNA, 494 nt
Filed under: uncultured bacterium
Lineage: Bacteria
Description: partial 16S ribosomal RNA
Rfam family: Bacterial small subunit ribosomal RNA
Source: RNAcentral
GACGAACGCUGGCGGCGUGCUUAACACAUGCAAGUCGAACGGUGAAGCGCCUUCCCUUUUGGUGGGUGUGGAUGAGUGGCGAACGGGUGAGUAACACGUGAGUAACCUGCCCCCUUCUUCUGGAUAACCGCAUGAAAGUGUGGCUAAUACGGGAUAUUCUGGGUCUGUCGCAUGAUGGGUCUGGGAAAGAUAUUGUUUCGGUGGGGGAUGGGCUCGCGGCCUAUCAGCUUGUUGGUGGGGUGAUGGCCUACCAAGGCGGUGACGGGUAGCCGGCCUUGGAGGGUGGACGGUCACACUGGGACUGAGGCACGGCCCAGACUCCGACGGGAGGCAGCAGUGGGGAAUAUUGCACAGUGGGCGCAAGCCUGAUGCAGCGACGCCGCGGGAGGGAUGGAGGCCUUCGGGUUGUGAACCUCUUUCGCCAGUGAAGCAGGCCUGCCUCGUUUGUGGGUGGGUUGACGGUAGCUGGAUAAGAAGCGCCGGCUAACUACGUG